CCUGAUGCAGCAACGCCGCUUGAGGGAUGACGGCCUUCCGGGUUGUAAACCUCUUUUUAGCAGGGAAGAAGCGAGAGUGACGGUACCUGCAGAAAAAGCGCCGGCUAACUACGUGCCAGCAGCCGCGGUAAUACGUAGGGCGCAAGCGUUAUCCGGAAUUAUUGGGCGUAAAGAGCUCGUAGGCGGUUUGUCGCGUCUGCUGUGAAAUCCCGAGGCUCAACCUCGGGCCUGCAGUGGGUACGGGCAGACUAGAGUGCGGUAGGGGAGAUUGGAAUUCCUGGUGUAGCGGUGGAAUGCGCAGAUAUCAGGAGGAACACCGAUGGCGAAGGCAGAUCUCUGGGCCGUAACUGACGCUGAGGAGCGAAAGGGUGGGGAGCAAACAGGCUUAGAUACCCUGGUAGUCCACCCCGUAAACGUUGGGAACUAGUUGUGGGGUCCAUUCCACGGAUUCCGUGACGCAGCUAACGCAUUAAGUUCCCCGCCUGGGGAGUACGGCCGCAAGGCUAAAACUCAAAGGAAUUGACGGGGACCCGCACAAGCGGCGGAGCAUGCGGAUUAAUUCGAUGCAACGCGAAGAACCUUACCAAGGCUUGACAUAUACGAGAACGGGCCAGAAAUGGUCAACUCUUUGGACACUCGUAAACAGGUGGUGCAUGGUUGUCGUCAGCUCGUGUCGUGAGAUGUUGGGUUAAGUCCCGCAACGAGCGCAACCCUCGUUCUAUGUUGCCAGCACGUAAUGGUGGGAACUCAUGGGAUACUGCCGGGGUCAACUCGGAGGAAGGUGGGGAUGACGUCAAAUCAUCAUGCCCCUUAUGUCUUGGGCUUCACGCAUGCUACAAUGGCCGGUACAAUGGGCAGCGAUACCGUGAGGUGGAGC
This 877-nucleotide ribosomal RNA is filed under the name Microbacterium aerolatum. RNAcentral describes it as "bacterial SSU rRNA". It matches the Rfam family "Bacterial small subunit ribosomal RNA", at positions 382 to 1268 of the family's 1533-position model. The record is from RNAcentral. Lineage: Bacteria; Bacillati; Actinomycetota; Actinomycetes; Micrococcales; Microbacteriaceae.